RNAcentral lists this ribosomal RNA (406 nucleotides) under uncultured bacterium. RNAcentral describes it as "partial 16S ribosomal RNA". It matches the Rfam family "Bacterial small subunit ribosomal RNA", at positions 30 to 526 of the family's 1533-position model. The record is from RNAcentral.
AUUGAACGCUGGCGGCAGGCCUAACACAUGCAAGUCGAACGAGUGGCGGACGGGUGAGUAAUGUCUGGGAAACUGCCUGAUGGAGGGGGAUAACUACUGGAAACGGUAGCUAAUACCGCCUACCAUCGGAUGUGCCCAGAUGGGAUUAGCUAGUAGGGGGGGUAAAGGCUCACCAAGGCGACGAUCCCUAGCUGGUCUGCGAGUAUGACCAGCGACACGGGAACUGAGACACGGGCCAGACUCCUACGGGAGGCAGCAGGGGGGAAUAUUGCACAAUGGGCGAAAGCCUGAUUCAGCCAUGCCGCGUGUAUGAAGAAGGCCUUCGGGUUGUAAAGUACUUUCAGCGGGGAGGCGUUACCCGCAGAAGAAGCACCGGCUAACUCCGUGCCAGCAGCCGCGGUAAUAC